ACCCUGGUAGUCCACGCUGUAAACGCUGUCGAUUUGGGGGUUGGGGUUUAACUCUGGCGCCCGUAGCUAACGUGAUAAAUCGACCGCCUGGGGAGUACGGCCGCAAGGUUAAAACUCAAAUGAAUUGACGGGGGCCCGCACAAGCGGUGGAGCAUGUGGUUUAAUUCGAUGCAACGCGAAGAACCUUACCUACUCUUGACAUCCUAAGAAGUUUGCAGAGAUGCGAAUGUGCCUUCGGGAACUUAGAGACAGGUGCUGCAUGGCUGUCGUCAGCUCGUGUUGUGAAAUGUUGGGUUAAGUCCCGCAACGAGCGCAACCCUUAUCCUUUGUUGCCAGCGAUACGGUCGGGAACUCAAAGGAGACUGCCAGUGAUAAACUGGAGGAAGGUGGGGAUGACGUCAAGUCAUCAUGGCCCUUACGAGUAGGGCUACACACGUGCUACAAUGGCGUAUACAGAGGGAAGCGAAGCUGCGAGGUGGAGCGAAUCUCAUAAAGUACGUCUAAGUCCGGAUUGGAGUCUGCA
Molecule: ribosomal RNA, 523 nt
Filed under: Haemophilus influenzae
Lineage: Bacteria; Pseudomonadati; Pseudomonadota; Gammaproteobacteria; Pasteurellales; Pasteurellaceae
Description: bacterial SSU rRNA
Rfam family: Bacterial small subunit ribosomal RNA
Source: RNAcentral